UAUCUCUGUAGAGUCUGCAUAUCAAUAAGCGGAGGAAAAGAAACUAACUAGGAUUCCCUCAGUAACGGCGAGUGAAGCGGGAAGAGCUCAAAUUUGAAAUCUUCAAGGUUUUACCUUGACGAAUUGUAGUUUAAAGAAGUGUUUUCUGUUGGAUGUUUUGGUAAAAGUUCUUUGGAAUAGGACAUCAUAGAGGGUGAGAAUCCCGUAUUUGACCAUUAUUUCCAGCUUUGUGAUACACUUUCAAAGAGUCGGAUUGUUUGGGAAUGCAGUCCAAAAUGGGUGGUAAAUUUCAUCUAAAGCUAAAUAUUGGCGAGAGACCGAUAGCGAACAAGUACCGUGAGGGACAGAUGAAAAGAACUUUGAAAAGAGAGUUAAACAGUACGUGAAAUUGUCAAAAGGGAAGCGUUUGACACCAGUGUUGUUUUCCGAAAAUCAAUUAAAAAAGGCAGGAUUUUGUGUUGUAUUGACUUUAUCAGCUUUCUGCACUCUUUUCUUGUCUUUUUUAAUGCACUUUUCGUUUAACAAGUCAACAUCAAUUUCUUUUGUUGUAAAAGGGUCAUUGGAAGGUGGCUUUCUUUUCGGAGAAAGUGUUUAUAGCCUUUGGCCUCUGCAAUCGGAGAGAUUGAGGUCUGCAGCGUAGAUCCUUCGGGGUUAGAUACAUUUGUGCUAAGUUAUAGCCUUUCAUAGACAACUUGUUGACUAUGAUCAGUCAUGUAGCUUACUCGCUUAUGCUAUUUUACCUACGCUUAGGAUGUUGACGAUCAGCUGAGCGCG
RNAcentral lists this ribosomal RNA (774 nucleotides) under uncultured Neocallimastigales. RNAcentral's name for it is "partial large subunit ribosomal RNA". It matches the Rfam family "Eukaryotic large subunit ribosomal RNA", at positions 24 to 627 of the family's 3401-position model. The record is from RNAcentral. Lineage: Eukaryota; Fungi; Neocallimastigomycota; Neocallimastigomycetes; Neocallimastigales.